UACGUAGGCAGCAAGCGUUGUUCGGAAUUACUGGGCGUAAAGCGUGCGUAGGCGGUGCCUCAAGUUUGGUGUGAAAUCUCCCGGCUCAACCGGGAGGGUGCGCCGAAAACUGAGGUGCUCGAGUGUGGGAGAGGUAGGCGGAAUUCCUGGUGUAGCGGUGAAAUGCGUAGAUAUCAGGAGGAACACCGGCGGUGUAGACGGCUUACUGGACCAUAACUGACGCUGAGGCACGAAAGUGUGGGGAGCAAAC
This 250-nucleotide ribosomal RNA is filed under the name uncultured bacterium. Its description in RNAcentral is "partial 16S ribosomal RNA". It matches the Rfam family "Bacterial small subunit ribosomal RNA", at positions 524 to 773 of the family's 1533-position model. The record is from RNAcentral.